Molecule: ribosomal RNA, 451 nt
Filed under: uncultured bacterium
Lineage: Bacteria
Description: partial 16S ribosomal RNA
Rfam family: Bacterial small subunit ribosomal RNA
Source: RNAcentral
GUGGGGAAUAUUGCGCAAUGGGCGAAAGCCUGACGCAGCGACGCCGCGUGAGUGAAGAAGGCCUUCGGGUCGUAAAGCUCUGUCAUCAGGGACGAACGGCCGGUGGAGUGGAAAGCCACCGGAUUGACGGUACCUGAGAAGGAAGCCACGGCUAACUACGUGCCAGCAGCCGCGGUAAUACGUAGGUGACGAGCGUUGUUCGGAUUUAUUGGGCGUAAAGGGUCCGCAGGGGGGCGAGAAAGUUUGAUGUGAAAUCCUGCAGCUCAACUGCAGAACUGCAUUGAAAACUACUCGACUAGAGCAUCUGAGAGGAGAAUGGAAGUCCUGGUGUAGCGGUGGAAUGCGUAGAUAUCCGGAGGAACACCGGUGGCGAAGGCGGCCACCUGGACAGGUACUGACGCUGAGGCGCGAAAGCGUGGGGAGCAAACAGGAUUAGAAACCCCGGUAGUCC